CAGCAGUAACACUCACCAGGGUCCUUAGGAUUUCUUACAGAGAAAAACGAGACCACGUCCCUCUCCGGAUGAACAGUUCCAAUCACUUUUCCCAGCCGCCAGAACAAACAAGACGGCCCGCAGUGUGUCCAGUGAUAACAAGCAGCAGGAAGGAUUGAACGCAGCAGUGCUUUACUUUGCCUCAUGCCUCUUCUCCCGCUGAGAUGCAACUGCAAGUGUGCCUCGUCAGAUGUGAGCAAUCCUUCCUACUCCAUUCAAAAUCCCCCAGUCAAUUACCAAGAAGCUGCAGGUCACAUGAUCUGCCCUGAUCACAAUUGCCAUAUUUGGCCAUCUGUCAGUGGUUUGC
Seriola aureovittata is the source of this 346-nucleotide long non-coding RNA. RefSeq lists it as uncharacterized. The transcript has 3 exons. The record is from RefSeq and is a predicted model, not a curated record. NCBI's taxonomy places the organism in Eukaryota, Metazoa, Chordata, Actinopteri, Carangiformes, Carangidae.